Molecule: ribosomal RNA, 127 nt
Filed under: Aequipecten opercularis
Lineage: Eukaryota; Metazoa; Mollusca; Bivalvia; Pectinida; Pectinidae
Description: partial 5.8S ribosomal RNA
Rfam family: 5.8S ribosomal RNA
About the family: 5.8S ribosomal RNA (5.8S rRNA) is a component of the large subunit of the eukaryotic ribosome. It is transcribed by RNA polymerase I as part of the 45S precursor that also contains 18S and 28S rRNA.
Source: RNAcentral
GUGUCGAUGAAGAGCGCAGCCAGGUGCGUGAAUUAAUGUGAAUUGCAGGACACAUUGAACAUCGAUAUCUUGAACGCAUAUUGCGGCCCCGGGUCACUCCCGGAGCCACGCCUGUCUGAGGGUCGGC